GGAGAAGCUCGGCCAAACACUAACAUAUGUCAUGAAGAAAACGAAUGACCGGCAAUUUGAAAAAGUGGUGCAAAUGAUCUGGGAUAAUCCAGAUGUAGCUCGAGAACUUGGUGCUUUCGGGUCCAAUAAAAAGGCUACAGCAGAGCUGUGGAAACAGCUAUCAAUCAGUUCAAUUGAAUGCACUUGGUCCACCAGUGCGUGAUGGAAGAGGCUGGAAUAAGCAUUUCAUUAUUCAUAUUUUAAGGUAUGGCUCGACUAUAAGUUAAAGCUGAAAAGAAAAAUAGCACUUAACAGAAGUGAGACCAUCGCUACUGGCGGUGGACCUUAUCGCCAGCAGACGUUAUCACCUCUAGAGCAGGAGGUUACUCUCUUCUAGGCUUAGAAAGAGCAGCGAAUCCUGAAGGCGUAAGUCAUGGUGCCAGCAACAGUACCAGUGCUCCACUUGCUUCAGAAAAUUGUACUGAUGAGGAAAAUCUUCAAAGCGAGGUUGACGCUAACCCUCGCAGGAGAGUGCGUUCGUCGGUAGUAAAUGCGGAUGUAAGGGAAAACGAACGAAUUGAGAUGCUGAAGCAGCAGUUGCUUAAUCAGGAGGAGUUACUAAAAGUGGUAAGAGGCCUGGGUGAAAAAAUGCACGACAUUGGAAGAUAUGCGCGGAAAACUUUUGAAAUUUUGAAACAAAAAGAAGCUCGUGAGGAGAGGGAACACUUCGAACGGAUCCAACUGCAAAAGCAAAAACUCGAGAUAAAGCUCCGUGAGCUUGAGUUGAAAGAAUGAAAGUAUAAAAAGCAUUUAUAAAAAAAUUGUACUUAAAUUAUAGGCUAUUUUAUUUAACAGUGUUGAAUUAAACCAAUCCAGUAAUUUUAAGUUUAUUGUGAUUUUCUUCCAAUAUAUCGUCACCUAAAAAACAAAAAGACGUAAAAAACAUCGUUACUGAAGUGGAAAGGGACGUGACUAAUAAUUUUUUUUAAUAAUUCGAUGUAGGGAGUUGCGAUGAAGUCCAUCAUAUCAAUCAAAAAGUGAAUUUUGAAUUUUUCAUUAGUUGCGACUUUUUGCAUUUCAGGUGACGAUAUGUAGCUUUUUAUGCUAUUUAUCUUGCAUUAAAAAUUAAUGAAAGCUGCUGGUUAGAUUCCGUUUUUAUACCUUU
Long non-coding RNA from Rhagoletis zephyria (snowberry fruit fly), 1144 nucleotides. RefSeq lists it as uncharacterized. Lineage: Eukaryota; Metazoa; Arthropoda; Insecta; Diptera; Tephritidae. The record is from RefSeq and is a predicted model, not a curated record.